GGAAGUUCCAGCACUCAGCUCCUGUCAAUGUUCCAAUAAUGGCGAAGAAGGCACCAAAGCAGGGAGACCUUGCUGAAGUUGAAAUUGACGACGAUGAUGCCGACGAUGAGAUGUUACCUCCGCAUGAAAUGGUGGCCCGAGGAUCAAUGAGGUCUCCUAGAACCACUUUCUCGGUGCUGGAAGGCGUGGGAAGAACUCUCAAGGGGAGGGAUCUUCGUCAGGUUCGCAAUGCUGUGUGGCGCCAAACAGGUUUUCAGGAUUGAAGUAUGCUCAAUGAAUUUUGAUAUAACUAUAGAAUAUGGAUCUUGUUUUAGAUAUCUGAAGUUUAAAAUUGACCUGAUGUUUUUGUUAUAUUCUGUAUAUAGGCAGUGAAGAAAUGUUUUUACAAAUUUCUUCAGUUUUUAUAUAGCCUAAGUGUAUUGAAAGAAGAUGAAGUUAUUACCUAGAAAAAAUUGCUGAUAUGUU
Molecule: unclassified non-coding RNA, 465 nt
Filed under: Hevea brasiliensis (rubber tree)
Lineage: Eukaryota; Viridiplantae; Streptophyta; Magnoliopsida; Malpighiales; Euphorbiaceae
Source: RNAcentral